AUGCUCUUAACCUCAGAGCAGCUCCACGGGAUUAGGAAGCUCACCAUUGAUUAUUCUCGCUGGCCAGGCAAAGCCUGGACUUUAGGAGCCGGCUAUGGAAAAGUGAGCAAAUAUGGAGAUGGAAACUCUGGGAGAAAUCCAGGGAUUUGUCCUUUCCUGCAGAAGCUCUCAGCCAGCAUUCUGACUGCCCAUUUCCAGCCAUCCAUCAUCACCUGCCAGGAACAGUUCCGAAGAUUGUGUGAUGGGCCUGAUGCCUGGAUAAUUCAUUCAUGAUACCAACAUGGAACAGGAAUGACUGCCCAAAGAAAAAUGUUUGUCUCUCCACUUUCAGAUACCCAGUGCUUGGUGUGUUACAGAUAUGCAAGAGAAAGUUAGAUUAAAGUAAAGAGGAAAGGAAAGAAGGAUGGAAGAGAAGGAGGGAGGGAGGGAAAGUAUUAUCUUUUCCUAGCCCAUUCAUUUUCCUUAUUAAAAGGGGUUU
This 478-nucleotide long non-coding RNA is filed under the name Vulpes vulpes (red fox). RNAcentral describes it as "lncRNA (ENSVVUG00000002986.1)". Lineage: Eukaryota; Metazoa; Chordata; Mammalia; Carnivora; Canidae. The record is from RNAcentral.